GGAGGGAUGGCAGAGCGGUUGAAUGCACUGGUCUUGAAAACCAGCAAGGUGUAACAGCCUUCCAGGGUUCGAAUCCCUGUCCCUCCGCCA
Molecule: transfer RNA, 90 nt
Filed under: Pseudomonadales bacterium
Lineage: Bacteria; Pseudomonadati; Pseudomonadota; Gammaproteobacteria; Pseudomonadales
Also listed under: 4 other names
Description: tRNA-Ser
Rfam family: tRNA
About the family: Transfer RNA (tRNA) molecules are approximately 80 nucleotides in length. Their secondary structure includes four short double-helical elements and three loops (D, anti-codon, and T loops).
Source: RNAcentral